This 170-nucleotide ribosomal RNA is filed under the name Pomacentrus coelestis (neon damselfish). RNAcentral describes it as "partial 12S ribosomal RNA". The record is from RNAcentral. Lineage: Eukaryota; Metazoa; Chordata; Actinopteri; Pomacentridae.
CACCGCGGUUAUACGAGAGGCUCAAGUUGACAGACAACGGCGUAAAGAGUGGUUAGGGAAAAUUUUAAAGACUAAAGCCGAACGUCCUCAGAGCUGUUUAACGCUUCCGAGUUAAGAAGAUCUUUAACGAAAGUAGCUUUACUAAACCUGACCCCACGAAAGCUGUGAAA